GUGCCAAGCAGCCGCGGUAUUCCCAGCUCCAAUAGCGUAUAUUAAAGUUGUUGCAGUUAAAAAGCUCGUAGUUGAACCUUGGGUCUGGCUGGCCGGUCCGCCUCACCGCGUGUACUGGUCCGGCCGGACCUUUCCUUCUGGGGAGCCGCAUGCCCUUCACUGGGCGUGUCGGGGAACCAGGACUUUUACUUUGAAAAAAUUAGAGUGUUCAAAGCAGGCCUUUGCUCGAAUACAUUAGCAUGGAAUAAUAGAAUAGGACGUGCGGUUCUAUUUUGUUGGUUUCUAGGACCGCCGUAAUGAUUAAUAGGGAUAGUCGGGGGCAUCCGUAUUCAAUUGUCAGAGGUGAAAUUCUUGGAUUUAUUGAAGACGAACUACUGCGAAAGCAUUUGCCAAGGAUGUUUUCAUUAAUCAGUGAACGAAAGUUAGGGGAUCGAAGACGAUCAGAUACCGUCGUAGUCUUAACCAUAAACUAUGCCGACUCGGGAUCGGUGGGCGUUACUAUUUUGACUCCAUCGGCACCGUACGAGAAAUCAAAGUUUUUGGGUUCUGGGGGGAGUAUGGUCGCAAGGCUGAAACUUAAAGAAAUUGACGGAAGGGCACCACCAGGCGUGGAGCCUGCGGCUUAAUUUGACUCAACACGGGGAAACUCACCAGGUCCAGACACAAUAAGGAUUGACAGAUUGAGAGCUCUUUCUUGAUUUUGUGGGUGGUGGUGCAUGGCCGUUCUUAGUUGGUGGAGUGAUUUGUCUGCUUAAUUGCGAUAACGAACGAGACCUUAACCUGCUAAAUAGCCCGGCCCGCUUUGGCGGGUCGCCGGCUUCUUAGAGGGACUAUCGGCUCAAGCCGAUGGAAGUUUGAGGCAAUAACAGGUCUGUGAUGCCC
This 882-nucleotide ribosomal RNA is filed under the name uncultured Dothideomycetes. Its description in RNAcentral is "SSU rRNA". It matches the Rfam family "Eukaryotic small subunit ribosomal RNA", at positions 564 to 1472 of the family's 1831-position model. Lineage: Eukaryota; Fungi; Ascomycota; Dothideomycetes. The record is from RNAcentral.